UACGUAGGGGGCGAGCGUUGUCCGGAUUUAUUGGGCGUAAAGAGCUCGUAGGCGGUUUGGUAAGUUGGAUGUGAAAUCUCCAGGCUCAACUUGGAGGGGUCAUUCGAUACUGCCAUGACUAGAGUUCGGUAGGGGAGUGUGGAAUUCCUGGUGGAGCGGUGAAAUGCGCAGAUAUCAGGAGGAACACCCGUAGCGAAGGCGGCACUCUGGGCCGAUACUGACACUGAGGAGCGAAAGCGUGGGGAGCGAACAGG
This 254-nucleotide ribosomal RNA is filed under the name uncultured bacterium. RNAcentral describes it as "partial 16S ribosomal RNA". It matches the Rfam family "Bacterial small subunit ribosomal RNA", at positions 524 to 776 of the family's 1533-position model. The record is from RNAcentral.